GGAGGAAACUGGUAUUGAUACUGAAUUUGUGGAGGUUAUGGCUUUCAGGCAUGUUCACGAUGUGGCCUUUCAAAAGUCGGAUUUGUUCUUCAUCUGCCUGUUAAGGCCCCUGUCAAAACAGAUCAUGGUUGAUAAUCUAGAAAUUCAGGAUGCUAAGUGGAUGCCUCUAGUUGAGUUUGUGGAGCAACCUCUAAUCCAAGAAGACGACAUGUUCAAGAAAAUAAUCGACAUUUUCAUCGCUAGACUAGGGAAGCGCUACUGCGGAUUGUCUGUCCAUCAACUGGUUUCCAAAUUUGAUGACAAACUUUCUACAUUGUAUUUUAACACUGUUGAUGAUCCAAAUUUGAACUGUCAAGCCAGUUAGCAUCACAAAUCAGUAUUGUCUUGUGUAUAUGUGUAAUCUAUAGGUUAUGGAUUCUGUAAAUAUACUUAUAAAUUAUUCAAAAGAACUUGUUAUAGA
This 460-nucleotide unclassified non-coding RNA is filed under the name Hevea brasiliensis (rubber tree). The record is from RNAcentral. Lineage: Eukaryota; Viridiplantae; Streptophyta; Magnoliopsida; Malpighiales; Euphorbiaceae.